RNAcentral lists this unclassified non-coding RNA (336 nucleotides) under soil metagenome. RNAcentral's name for it is "partial contains 5.8S ribosomal RNA, internal transcribed spacer 2, and large subunit ribosomal RNA". The stretch from base 1 to 120 matches the Rfam family "5.8S ribosomal RNA", at positions 35 to 154 of the family's 154-position model. The record is from RNAcentral.
GAUGAAGAACGUAGCGAAAUGCGAUAAGUAAUGUGAAUUGCAGAAUUCAGUGAAUCAUCGAAUCUUUGAACGCACAUUGCGCCCGCCAGUAUUCUGGCGGGCAUGCCUGUUCGAGCGUCAUUUCAACCAUCAAGCCCCCGGCUUGUGUUGGGGACCUGCGGCUGCCGCAGGCCCUGAAAACCAGUGGCGGGCUCGCUAGUCACUCCGAGCGUAGCAGUUACAUCUCGCUCAGGGCGUGCUGCGGGUUCCGGCCGUUAAAAGCCUUAUUUACCCAAGGUUGACCUCGGAUCAGGUAGGAAGACCCGCUGAACUUAAGCAUAUCAAUAAGCGGGAGGA